RNAcentral lists this ribosomal RNA (750 nucleotides) under uncultured bacterium. RNAcentral's name for it is "bacterial SSU rRNA". It matches the Rfam family "Bacterial small subunit ribosomal RNA", at positions 43 to 754 of the family's 1533-position model. The record is from RNAcentral.
CAGGCCUAACACAUGCAAGUCGAACGCACUCUCGUUAGAUUGAAGAAGCUUGCUUCUGAUUGAUAACAUUUGAGUGAGUGGCGGACGGGUGAGUAACACGUGGGUAACCUGCCCUAAAGUGGGGGAUAACAUUUGGAAACAGAUGCUAAUACCGCAUAAAACCUAGCACCGCAUGGUGCAAGGUUGAAAGAUGGUUUCGGCUAUCACUUUAGGAUGGACCCGCGGUGCAUUAGUUAGUUGGUGAGGUAAAGGCUCACCAAGACCGUGAUGCAUAGCCGACCUGAGAGGGUAAUCGGCCACACUGGGACUGAGACACGGCCCAGACUCCUACGGGAGGCAGCAGUAGGGAAUCUUCCACAAUGGACGAAAGUCUGAUGGAGCAACGCCGCGUGAGUGAAGAAGGUUUUCGGAUCGUAAAACUCUGUUGUUGGAGAAGAACGUAUUUGAUAGUAACUGAUCAGGUAGUGACGGUAUCCAACCAGAAAGCCACGGCUAACUACGUGCCAGCAGCCGCGGUAAUACGUAGGUGGCAAGCGUUGUCCGGAUUUAUUGGGCGUAAAGCGAGCGCAGGCGGUUUCUUAAGUCUGAUGUGAAAGCCUUCGGCUCAACCGAAGAAGUGCAUCGGAAACUGGGAAACUUGAGUGCAGAAGAGGACAGUGGAACUCCAUGUGUAGCGGUGAAAUGCGUAGAUAUAUGGAAGAACACCAGUGGCGAAGGCGGCUGUCUGGUCUGUAACUGACGCUGAGGCUC